UGAGGCAGAAUUGAGAUUUUUAAGUUAACAGUGUGUAGCAUUUAGGAGGAUCUAAUGGCAGAAAUGGAAUAUAAUAUUAAUAAGUAUGUUUUCUUUACUGUAUAAUCGUCUGAAAAUAAGAAUCAUUGUGUUUUUGUUACCUUAGAAUGAGCCGUUUAUAUCUACACACAGAGCGGGUGCUCAUCACGGAGCUUGCUGCCAUGUUUCUACAGUAGCCCAGAAUGAACAAAUCAAACACUGGCUCUACAUAGGGACAUUCACUUUCAGUUGGUUGCAAUCUGUAACCUCGCAACUAGAUGCCGCCAAAUCCUACACACUGCACCUUUAAAAGGACAAAGUGCUAGAAAGAAAUAGUGGACAUGUUAGAAUAAAAGGAGGAACAAUAAGUUGCUCCAUGUUUAACACAAAUGCAUCUGCCUUAGCCGGUAGAUCCAAGACCUCCUCAACACUGUACUUCAAUGAGUCCAUAUAUACUGUGCUUAACAAUUAAACCAGCACUGCAACAAAAGUUAACACUGUUUGACAAAAAACACACUUUUCCUCUCAGGUGUGUAACUGAUUUUGUCCUGAGCUGAAAACCAGACAUAGUAAGAGCUGAUGUAGAUGAUUUAAAAAAAAAAAAAAAA
Long non-coding RNA from Sebastes umbrosus (honeycomb rockfish), 626 nucleotides. RefSeq lists it as uncharacterized. The transcript is spliced from 2 exons. The record is from RefSeq and is a predicted model, not a curated record. Lineage: Eukaryota; Metazoa; Chordata; Actinopteri; Perciformes; Sebastidae.